GUUAUUAUAGUUUAAUAAAAACAUUAAGUUGUGGUCUUAAAAUUGAAAAUUCUAAUAACA
Molecule: transfer RNA, 60 nt
Filed under: Sphaeroma terebrans
Lineage: Eukaryota; Metazoa; Arthropoda; Malacostraca; Isopoda; Sphaeromatidae
Description: tRNA-His
Source: RNAcentral